GGUGAGGUGUCCGAGUGGCUAAAGGAGGCAGACUGUAAAUCUGCUAGCGUAAGCUUACGGGGGUUCGAAUCCCUCCCUCACCA
This 83-nucleotide transfer RNA is filed under the name Deltaproteobacteria bacterium. RNAcentral describes it as "tRNA-Tyr". It matches the Rfam family "tRNA". Rfam says of the family: Transfer RNA (tRNA) molecules are approximately 80 nucleotides in length. Their secondary structure includes four short double-helical elements and three loops (D, anti-codon, and T loops). Further hydrogen bonds mediate the characteristic L-shaped molecular structure. tRNAs have two regions of fundamental functional importance: the anti-codon, which is responsible for specific mRNA codon recognition, and the 3' end, to which the tRNAs corresponding amino acid is attached (by aminoacyl-tRNA synthetases). tRNAs cope with the degeneracy of the genetic code in two manners: having more than one tRNA (with a specific anti-codon) for a particular amino acid; and 'wobble' base-pairing, i.e. permitting non-standard base-pairing at the 3rd anti-codon position. The record is from RNAcentral. Lineage: Bacteria; Pseudomonadati; Myxococcota; Myxococcia.